GAUGAACGCUAGCGGCAGGCUUAACACAUGCAAGUCGAGGGGUAGAGGAAGCUUGCUUCCUUGAGACCGGCGCACGGGUGCGUAACGCGUAUGCAACCUACCUUUUACAGAGGGAUAGCCCAGAGAAAUUUGGAUUAAUACCUCAUAGUAUAUAGUCUUCGCAUGUUGACUAUAUUAAAGUUCCAACGGUAAAAGAUGGGCAUGCGUCCUAUUAGCUAGAUGGUAAGGUAACGGCUUACCAUGGCAACGAUAGGUAGGGGUCCUGAGAGGGAGAUCCCCCACACUGGUACUGAGACACGGACCAGACUCCUACGGGAGGCAGCAGUGAGGAAUAUUGGACAAUGGGCGCAAGCCUGAUCCAGCCAUGCCGCGUGCAGGAAGAAGCAUCUAUGGUGUGUAAACUGCUUUUGUACAGGAAGAAACACCCCGACGUGUCGGGACUUGACGGUACUGUAAGAAUAAGGAUCGGCUAACUCCGUG
RNAcentral lists this ribosomal RNA (480 nucleotides) under uncultured organism. RNAcentral describes it as "bacterial SSU rRNA". It matches the Rfam family "Bacterial small subunit ribosomal RNA", at positions 28 to 507 of the family's 1533-position model. The record is from RNAcentral.